This 1459-nucleotide ribosomal RNA is filed under the name Oceanobacillus sp. Its description in RNAcentral is "bacterial SSU rRNA". It matches the Rfam family "Bacterial small subunit ribosomal RNA", at positions 64 to 1432 of the family's 1533-position model. Lineage: Bacteria; Bacillati; Bacillota; Bacilli; Caryophanales; Bacillaceae. The record is from RNAcentral.
GAACGGAACUCUUCGGAGGGAAGUUCGUGGAACGAGCGGCGGACGGGUGAGUAACACGUAGGCAACCUGCCUGUAAGACUGGGAUAACUCGCGGAAACGCGAGCUAAUACCGGAUAACACUUUCUAUCACCUGAUGGAAAGUUGAAAGGCGGCUUUUGCUGUUUUUCCACUUACAGAUGGGCCUGCGGCGCCCAGUAGCUAGUUGGUGAGGUAAACGGCCUUCACCAAGGCGACCAGUGCGUUAGCCGACCCUGAGAGGGGUUGAUCGGCCACACUGGGGGACUGAGACACGGCCCCAGACUCCUUACGGGGAGGCAGCAGUAGGGAAUCUUUCCGCAAUUGGACGAAAGUUCUGACGGAGCAACCGCCGCGUGAGUGAUGAAGGUUUUCGGAUCGUAAAACUCUGUUGUCAGGGAAGAACAAGUACGAUAGUAACUGAUCGUACCUUGACGGUACCUGACCAGAAAGCCACGGCUAACUACGUGCCAGCAGCCGCGGUAAUACGUAGGUGGCAAGCGUUGUCCGGAAUUAUUGGGCGUAAAGCGCUCGCAGGCGGUUCUUUAAGUCUGAUGUGAAAUCUUGCGGCUCAACCGCAAACGUGCAUUGGAAACUGGAGGACUUGAGUGCAGAAGAGGAGAGUGGAAUUCCACGUGUAGCGGUGAAAUGCGUAGAGAUGUGGAGGAACACCAGUGGCGAAGGCGACUCUCUGGUCUGUAACUGACGCUGAGGAGCGAAAGCGUGGGGAGCGAACAGGAUUAGAUACCCUGGUAGUCCACGCCGUAAACGAUGAGUGCUAGGUGUUAGGGGGUUUCCGCCCCUUAGUGCUGAAGUUAACGCAUUAAGCACUCCGCCUGGGGGAGUACGGCCGCAAGGCUGAAACUCAAAAGAAUUGACGGGGGACCCGCACAAGCGGUGGAAGCAUGUGGGUUUAAUUCCGAAGCAACGCGAAAGAACCUUUACCAGGUCUUGGACAUCCCUUUGAACCGCUCUAGAAAAUAGAAGUUUUCCCCUUCGGGGGACAAAGUGAACAGGGGGGUGCCAUGGUUUGUCGUCCACCUCCUGGUCCUGGAAAAUGUUUGGGGUUAAAGUCCCCGCAACCAAGCGCCAACCCUUUAAUCCUUAAUUUGCCCAGCAUUUUAUUUUGGGGCCCCUCUUAAGGGGGAACUGGCCCGGGGGAAAAAACCCCGGAGGAAAAGGGGGGGGGAAUCAAAUCAUCCAAAACCAUUCUGACGUGGGCUACCCCCUUUUUAAAACCUGGGGGGUUAACAAACCGGGGGGAACCCGAGAGGUCCAGCAAAUCCCAUAAAACCGUUCUCAGUUCGGAUUGCAGGCUGCAACUCGCCUGCAUGAAGCGGGAAUCGCUAGUAAUCGCGGAUCAGCAUGCCGCGGUGAAUACGUUCCCGGGUCUUGUACACACCGCCCGUCACACCACGAGAGUUCGUAACACCCGAAGUCGGUG